Molecule: ribosomal RNA, 1091 nt
Filed under: uncultured organism
Description: bacterial SSU rRNA
Rfam family: Bacterial small subunit ribosomal RNA
Source: RNAcentral
UAACACGUGGGUGACUUGCCCCGAAGAUGGGGAUAACCUCUGGAAACGGGGGCUAAUACCCAAUGUGCUCGGUGAUUCGGUUCAUCGAGUAAAGCUCCGGCGCUUCGGGAGAGGCCUGCGGCCCAUCAGCUAGUUGGUAGGGUAACGGCCUACCAAGGCAGAGACGGGUAGGGGGCGUGAGAGCGCGGACCCCCACACUGGCACUGAGAUACGGGCCAGACUCCUACGGGAGGCAGCAGUAAGGGAUAUUGCGCAAUGGACGAAAGUCAGACGCAGCGACGCCGCGUGGGCGAUGAAGGCCUUCGGGUUGUAAAGCCCUUUUAUGGGGGAAGAGAAAAAGGACGGUACCCCAGGAAUAAGUCCCGGCUAACUACGUGCCAGCAGCCGCGGUAAAACGUAGGGGACAAGCGUUAUCCGGAUUCACUGGGCGUAAAGAGCGUUGAGGCGGUUCCGUAAGUUGGGCGUGAAAGCUCCGGGCUUAACUCGGAGAUGUCGUUCAAUACUGCGGGGCUUGAGGACAGCAGAGGAAGGUGGAAUUCCCGGUGUAGUGGUGAAAUGCGUAGAUAUCGGGAGGAACACCCGUGGCGAAGGCGGCCUUCUGGGCUGUUCCUGACGCUGAAGGCGAAAGCUAGGGGAGCGAACGGGAUUAGAUACCCCGGUAGUCCUAGCUGUAAACGAUGGAUGCUGGGUGUGGGGGGUGUAAAUUCCCUCUGUGCCGAAGCAAACGCGUUAAGCAUCCCGCCUGGGGACUACGGCCGCAAGGCUAAAACUCAAACGAAUUGACGGGGGCCCGCACAAGCAGCGGAGCGUGUGGUUUAAUUCGAUGCUACACGAAGAACCUUACCUGGGUUUGACAUGCACGUGGUAGGGAACCGAAAGGGGACCGACCUUCGGGAGCGUGCACAGGUGCUGCAUGGCUGUCGUCAGCUCGUGCCGUGAGCUGUCGGGUUAAGUCCCGUAACGAGCGCAACCCUUGCCGUUAGUUACAAGUGUCUAAGGGGACUGCCCGGGACAAUUGGGAGGAAGGUGGGGAUGAUGUCAAGUCAGCAUGUCCUUUAUAUCCAGGGGUACACUCACGUUACAAUGGCCGG